RNAcentral lists this ribosomal RNA (490 nucleotides) under uncultured bacterium. Its description in RNAcentral is "partial 16S ribosomal RNA". It matches the Rfam family "Bacterial small subunit ribosomal RNA", at positions 29 to 507 of the family's 1533-position model. The record is from RNAcentral.
AGUGAACGCUGGCGGUAGGCCUAACACAUGCCAGUCGAACGGCAGCACAGGAGAGCUUGCUCUCUAGGUGGCGAGUGGCGGACGGGUGAGGAAUACAUCGGAAUCUGCCCAGUCGUGGGGGAUAACGUAGGGAAACUUACGCUAAUACCGCAUACGACCUUCGGGUGAAAGAGGGGGAUCGCAAGACCUCUCGCGAUUGGAUGAGCCGAUGUCGGAUUAGCUAGUUAGCGGGGUAAUGGCCCACCAAGGCGACGAUCCGUAGCUGGUCUGAGAGGAUGAUCAGCCACACUGGAACUGAGACACGGUCCAGACUCCUACGGGAGGCAGCAGUGGGGAAUAUUGGACAAUGGGCGCAAGCCUGAUCCAGCCAUACCGCGUGGGUGAAGAAGGCCUUCGGGUUGUAAAGCCCUUUUGUUGGGAAAGAAAUCUUUCAGGCUAAUACCCUGGGAGGAUGACGGUACCCAAAGAAUAAGCACCGGCUAACUUCAUG